UAUUCUAGUCCCCUGCACUCAUGGAAGGACUAACUAUUAUUUAGAUCAUCUCUGACAGGACCAGAAUCAAAUGGAUAGCAUAAAUCAAUGUUAUCAAGGUCUCAUCUUCUUUUUCCCACUACUUUCCCCCCCAUAAUCAUACACAUUGAGAGAAACAGAAAAAUAUACAAAGCCUGUACAAAUAAGCUAUACUUGAUACACUAUGAACAAAGUGGAGGAAAAACUAC
Molecule: long non-coding RNA, 227 nt
Organism: Mauremys mutica (yellowpond turtle)
Lineage: Eukaryota; Metazoa; Chordata; Testudines; Geoemydidae
Exons: 3
Source: RefSeq, a predicted model, not a curated record